RNAcentral lists this ribosomal RNA (681 nucleotides) under Staphylinidae sp. NZAC 03012301. Its description in RNAcentral is "eukaryotic LSU rRNA". It matches the Rfam family "Eukaryotic large subunit ribosomal RNA", at positions 396 to 853 of the family's 3401-position model. Lineage: Eukaryota; Metazoa; Arthropoda; Insecta; Coleoptera; Staphylinidae. The record is from RNAcentral.
UACGUGAAACCGUUUAAGGGUAAACCUGAGAAAUCCGAAAGUUCGAACGAGGAGAUUCAGUGUGUCUCGUUGGGUGCGAGUAGCGCUCGGUAGACAGCGGUCGUUCGCGGCCGUUGCUCCUUGUGUUGCCGUUGCUUGGCGAACGCAUGCACUUCUCCUCCAGUAGGACGUCGCGACCCGUUGGGUGUCGGUCCGAGGCCCGCAGUGGAGCCCGUUCGUCGGUUUCGGCCGUUCGUUCGGACCUGUGGCGUCCGUCCGGCUGCUCGACGGUAGACUAAAGGCGCGGAGCCGCGACUAGCUCGCGUUCGGCCCGAUGCAAGCGCGGCCGGUUACCUGAUCGUCGGACUUGUGCCGAUCUCGGGGCCGGUCGACUGUUGGUGUCGGUGUUCCCGGACAGACUCUGCACACGCCUGUCUGCGGCGCUAUAGCUUUGGAUAAUUUCAGGGCCCGUCUUGAAACACGGACCAAGGAGUCUAGCAUGUGCGCGAGUCACUGGGACUAUCGAAUCCUAAAGGCGUAAUGAAAGUGAAGGCCGAGCCUGCUCUGUCGAGGGAAGAUGGGUGACUUAACCGUUGCCUCGCAUUCCCGGGGCGUCUCAUUCUCAUUGCGAGUAGAGGCGCACCUAGAGCGUACAUGCUGGGACCCGAAAGAUGGUGAACUAUGCCUGGUCAGGACGAAGUC